CAAAGUAUAGCUUAACCAAAGCCCCUCGCUUACACCGAGUCGAUAUCCGUUAAAUCCAGAUUACUUUGA
Molecule: transfer RNA, 69 nt
Filed under: Xenopus mellotropicalis (Gabonese clawed frog)
Lineage: Eukaryota; Metazoa; Chordata; Amphibia; Anura; Pipidae
Description: tRNA-Val
Rfam family: tRNA
About the family: Transfer RNA (tRNA) molecules are approximately 80 nucleotides in length. Their secondary structure includes four short double-helical elements and three loops (D, anti-codon, and T loops).
Source: RNAcentral